CUCGAAUUUAAAAGAGCUAAGGAGUUAUAUUUUUUAAUGUAGAAUAAUUAUUAAUAAUAAUUCUUUUGUAAUGAAAUGUUAUUCGUUUUUAAAUAUAUCUAGUUUUUUAAGAAAUAAAUUUAAUUUAAUUAUUAAUAUGAUUAAAAAAUUAAAUUUUUAAUUUUUUAUUAUUAAUAUUUAACAUUUUUAGGGAUGAGCUUAAAAAUGAAUUUUUAUUAGUUUAUAAAUUAAAUAAAAUUGUAGGAUUAAAAUUUUUUAUCAAUAAAAAAAUGUUAUAAUUAAUUUAUAAUUAAAUAUUAUUUUUAUAAAUAUAUUAAAUUUUUUAUUAAAAUAUUAAUUAAAAUAUUAAAAAUUAAUUAAUUAUGAUAAAAUUAGUAUAAAUUAUUGUAUUUUUUUAGAUUAAGAAUAGUUUAAAUAAAGGAAUUCGGCAAAUUAUUUUUUACCUGUUUAUUAAAAACAUGUCUUUUUGAUAAUAAUUUAAAGUCUAGCCUGCCCGAUGAUGAAUUGAAUGGCCGCGGUAUUUUGACCGUGCUAAGGUAGCAUAAUCAAUAGUUUUUUAAUUGAAAGCUGGAAUGAAGGGUUGGAUAAAAAAAUAACUGUCUUUAUUUAAUUUAAUUAGAAUUUUAUAUUUAAGUUAAAAAGCUUAAAUUUUAUUAAAAGACGAGAAGACCCUAUAGAGUUUAAUAAAUAGUUAUAUUAUUAUAUUUAGAAUUAAUUUUAUUAAUUAUAUUAUUUAUUUAAUUGGGGUGAUUUAAAAAUUAGAUUAACUUUUUUUGUAUUUAAACAUUUUUAAAUGAAUAUUUGAUCCAUAUAUAAUGAUUAUAAGAUAAAAUUACCUUAGGGAUAACAGCGUUAUUUUUUUUUAGAGUUCAAAUCGAAAGAAAAGAUUGCGACCUCGAUGUUGGAUUAAAAUUAAUUUUUGGUGUAGAAGCUAAAACAUUAGGUCUGUUCGACCUUUAAAAUUUUACAUGAUCUGAGUUUAAACCGGUAUAAGCCAGGUUGGUUUCUAUCUUUAAUAUAUAAAGAAUACUUUAGUACGAAAGGAUUGAGUAUU
RNAcentral lists this ribosomal RNA (1054 nucleotides) under Linaeidea aenea. RNAcentral describes it as "16S ribosomal RNA". The stretch from base 843 to 1001 matches the Rfam family "Archaeal large subunit ribosomal RNA", at positions 2542 to 2701 of the family's 2987-position model. Lineage: Eukaryota; Metazoa; Arthropoda; Insecta; Coleoptera; Chrysomelidae. The record is from RNAcentral.